UUAAGUCGACCGCCUGGGGAGUACGGCCGCAAGGUUAAAACUCAAAUGAAUUGACGGGGGCCCGCACAAGCGGUGGAGCAUGUGGUUUAAUUCGAUGCAACGCGAAGAACCUUACCUGGUCUUGACAUCCACGGAAGUUUUCAGAGAUGAGAAUGUGCCUUCGGGAACCGUGAGACAGGUGCUGCAUGGCUGUCGUCAGCUCGUGUUGUGAAAUGUUGGGUUAAGUCCCGCAACGAGCGCAACCCUUAUCCUUUGUUGCCAGCGGUCCGGCCGGGAACUCAAAGGAGACUGCCAGUGAUAAACUGGAGGAAGGUGGGGAUGACGUCAAGUCAUCAUGGCCCUUACGACCAGGGCUACACACGUGCUACAAUGGCGCAUACAAAGAGAAGCGACCUCGCGAGAGCAAGCGGACCUCAUAAAGUGCGUCGUAGUCCGGAUUGGAGUCUGCAACUCGACUCCAUGAAGUCGGAAUCGCUAGUAAUCGUGGAUCAGAAUGCCACGGUGAAUACGUUCCCGGGCCUUGUACACACCGCCCGUCACACCAUGGGAGUGGGUUGCAAAAGAAGUAGGUAGCUUAACCUU
This 582-nucleotide ribosomal RNA is filed under the name Escherichia coli. RNAcentral's name for it is "bacterial SSU rRNA". It matches the Rfam family "Bacterial small subunit ribosomal RNA", at positions 860 to 1442 of the family's 1533-position model. The record is from RNAcentral. RNAcentral also lists the same sequence under 1 other name. Lineage: Bacteria; Pseudomonadati; Pseudomonadota; Gammaproteobacteria; Enterobacterales; Enterobacteriaceae.